This is a long non-coding RNA of Gambusia affinis (western mosquitofish), 494 nucleotides long. RefSeq lists it as uncharacterized. Lineage: Eukaryota; Metazoa; Chordata; Actinopteri; Cyprinodontiformes; Poeciliidae. The transcript is spliced from 3 exons. The record is from RefSeq and is a predicted model, not a curated record.
GGUGAAACUGCACUAGAAGUUGGUGAACAACAGAGGGCGCCGCAAAGUCACUGUAAUAUAUUCAAACUAUGGUCAAUGACUGGAGUUAGCACUGGGCUACACUUUCAUCUAGGAAAAGAUGAAAAGAACAGAAAAAGAUGGAAAACAACAUCAAUGGAUACAAAUAACUUACAGUGAAUGGAGAGUGACUGGAGAAAAUAAAGACAGGGAGUGCUUGUUGAACUGUUGAACAGUAGUAUCCCAUCUUGUGGGUGGCUUUUGUUUAUUUACAACAAAACCCGUCCAUCCAUGACGGCUCUAAUGACAGUGAUGUGGGUGAUGCUGUGUUGCAGCCAUAAUCUGAGGCCUGAUCCCCCGCAGAGUGAGUGGUGUAGAAGAGAGACGUCGAGCUGCUGCUCUGCAUUCUGGUCACGACUCGGACGCACGCAGAUCUGUCCUGACCGGUCUGCUAUGAUUAGCUGACCACGGCACUGUGGCGUUGCUCCCCAUUAUCA